Molecule: RNA transcript, 1982 nt
Organism: Cylas formicarius (sweet potato weevil)
Lineage: Eukaryota; Metazoa; Arthropoda; Insecta; Coleoptera; Brentidae
Exons: 6
Source: RefSeq, a predicted model, not a curated record
CAUUAAUUAUAAGUGCAAAUUUAGUCUGCUAUCGACAUAUUUUUAAAAAUGUUAAAUAGACAAUGGGAAUGGAAAUUAUUUAAAUUUUAAAUCAAAAAUAAAAUAAAUUUAAAAUUUAAAUGGUUGUUAAGAGAUUUCUAUGCAUUCUCGGAUUUUUAUCUGGUAUGAGAACUGAUUACAAUGCAAAGAAAUUUAGUUUGACCGAAUAAAAUUUGUUAACCGGUUUAAUUAUUAUUUUCGCCAACAACCAUUGCACUAGAUCCAAACGAUAUUCUGGUUAGUUGCUACUCUCAAGAUAAAUUCAGAUAUAUUAAAAUUCCGGAAUUUGGAAUCAAAAUAACUUAAUCUUAAUUAAAAAGUACUUGCCUGGAACAUAUUAUUCUUGAAUUUAUGAAUGUCAUGGAAAAUAUAUUUAUGGAAGCUUUUGAGAAGGAAGCUCUCGAUACUUUCGAUCUAAAACCAAAACUAAGUUGUUGAUAUUUGGGGAUACUGCCAUUUAGAUGUACGUUUAACCAUUAACUUAGACAUUGAUAAUAAUCUCCUAUCCUUAGAUAUUUUUAAUAAUAGAAAAUCAGACCAAACAUUCGAUCAUUCAUCACCAUCCGGCCUAUAAGUCAUCGGUUAUCAACUCUGCUGCUUACAUCCCCUUGAAACUAUUUCAACCCCAUUCACCAGAACCAAAAUCAAAACACCAAACAGUUUUUCUCUCAAAUAAUUUCCAUAUUUAAUAUAUUAAGCGUUCUAUAACAAAAUACACUUCAGCACAACCUCCCAAAUAAGAUGAGCCCGAAAGAUGCCCUUUGCCUGCCACUGCGGUCCUUCCUAUCUUUUAAAAUAUUACUGACUGAUAUUAUACUGAUAAAAGUUCUUUAGAAACAUAAUAUUUUAACUAAAUUUAACGCAUCGAGCACAAAAUUCAAAAACAGAACGAAAAAUACAAAUCAACAUAUCAUUAAUAACCAAAGCAUGAGGAAUCCAGAUUAGUAAAUAGUACUAAUUGGGUAUUUUUUGAAGUUGUACAUUCUUCCCUUACAUUUUCUUUUAAAAUGUUAUUGGAAGUGCUCACUACUGUUCAUUGUUAAUGGGGGUAUUUUACAGUAUCUACUUCCGACAUUUGGCUUGCCAUAAUAGCAUAUUAUGCAACAAGUUUGAUAAACGCCAUUUUAGUUACAGGUUUUCACGAGCGGAACACAGCAGAGCGUAUGCUCAAUAAAUUCGUGACUGAAUUUUAUCAACGCGUUGCAUGCUAUGCUCUUCUAGUUUUAAGUACUGGGACAACAAUAUAGCUAACGCUGCGCAGAACAUAGCAAACACCUGCGUAUACGGACACGUUGCUGUCCACGAUCGUGGUCAGUCGGUCAGAAUAUUUACGCAAAAUUCAAUCCAUACUACGAGAAAGGUGCUAACUGGACCCGUGCGAUUGAGGCCUGGUGGAGCGAGCAUGUUUCUUACAAGUAUCCAGCCGGAUUUUCAGAAAAAACUGAACACUAUACACAGGUUGUAUAGGCAUAGAGUACCAUAGAUAGUCCUUUGAGACUACCAAGUUGAAGAAGACCGAAGAGCUUCAAGUCUGGCGAUCUAGAAGGCCAGUUCCAUCGUUCCUUACCUCCUUUGAUGCAAACAAAACCAAAAACGGGACCAAAAACAUGUCACACUUGACAAAACAAGAAAACAGUUGAAACUAAGUGUAGGGAAAGGCUUAGUAAAUCGACCUACAAUUAUCAAUUAUGUAAAAACUUUUUUUUAAAUAGCUGGUUUGGGAUAACACCAUGUAUGUCGGAUGCGGUUACGCUCAUUUUCCUAUAGAUGGGCAGUACAAAUUCGAAAAGUUUUAUGUCUGCAACUAUGGUCCGGCGGGAAAUUUUCCCAGAGCGCCAUAUCAAACUGGAAAUUCCGGAUGUGAGAAUCUAUGUUGAGCCGUAUUUGAUAAAAAUAUGUUGAUUGUAAUAUAUUUUAUAAAACCUUAUUUAUUUGUUUGGCUU